CUCUGCCUCUCCGCCCCGCCGUCAUGUGGGAGCUUCGGCCGCUCCUCCUCGGCCUCGAGGUCGGCGGCUGCGGAGCGCCUCGGUUCCGAAGCGCGGUCUGAAAGGGCUCCCCAGGCGGCGGCUGUGCCGUUAUAGGAAAAAAGUGAGCGUGGAGUGUGUUAUCCCGAGCACCACUGCGAUGCUGGGCUGAGGAGUUCGUGAGGCUUUGUUCUUCCAGAAACUCCAUGGAAAUUCUCCAAGGAUCGUUACUUUGUCAUGCUCAUUAGAACUUGAGAUGAAACCUAUUGAGGUGCCUUAACAUCAUCUCCGAACACCAGGUGCUUUGGCAUUUCAGAUGUCACAUGGGUCAGGACAAAAUAGCAUUUCUAAUUGUCAGCUACAGAAUUGGACACAAAACUGUGAGAGGAGGAGGGAAAUCCCCGUAGAGAGAAUUCAAGGUUAUCACUCUGCUUCUGACAGAAUUGAAAAGCUAACUGACUGACAUGAAAGACCCAGCUUCUUCUACAGUAAUGUUCUGUAAUGGAAAGGCACUGAAGUCGUUCUGCCUUUUGUCCCAGAUCUCUCAUCUCUCAUGUAUUCUUUUCUUUCUCUGUCACAAGAAGCUUUGUAAGAUGGGAAUAUGAAGAACAUCUGAAGUCUGUUGAACAAAAUCCUCUUGCUGCAGCAUUCCAAGCUGUUGUGGCUGGUAACUUCUGUAGCCAG
RNAcentral lists this long non-coding RNA (702 nucleotides) under Gallus gallus (chicken). The record is from RNAcentral. Lineage: Eukaryota; Metazoa; Chordata; Aves; Galliformes; Phasianidae.